UAGAGCUUUUAUCUUCUAUUGCAAUUUAUAUAAUUCUAAGGAUUGGAGAUUAUUUUUGGGCACCCAAUGCUGAACGCAAUCUUUAUGGCGGUCACUUGAUGCAAAAUUUGUUUAUCAGGGUUUCUAGAUUAACCUUGCACAUCCAUACUUUGGCAGGACAACAAUUUGUAAUGGGCCUAGUGAUUAUAUCUCGUGCAUAAUUUGAAUAUCUAGUUUUCUCAUAAAUUCUAGAUUGACUGUGAAGAGUAAGAAUGUGGAACUAAUUACAUUAUUUGCAGUGCUACCAGUGAUGCUGGGUCUCCUAAAUAUGAUUUGAGAAAAAAGUGAGCAUUUCUUUGUGAAGCAUAAUACCUAAUAUGUUGAGUUGGUUGACUCGAUUUAAUCUUUAAAAUAGACGAAAAGUAACCCUGAGUGUAGCAUAUCUAAAUCUAUUUUUAGCUUGGCAUCAUGGUGGUAAGUAGUCAAAUGGCAUGGAAGCAAGCAUCACCAGAUUCACAACUGGAUACUUGAACUUAGAUUUCAUGAAGUCAACAUGGCACAUUAUGCUUAUGCAACUAUAACUAGAGCUAAUCUGGUUGUGUUUGUUAAAGCUUUCAUAUAAAAAAUAUGACGAGGAACAAAUAAAAAUAGCAUGAAAAAAGAAGACGGGAAAUGAGAUUAUCAAUACUCUAAUAUGUUUGACUAUUUCUUGGGUGCAUCAUAUAAUUAUUGCACUUGGUUUCAGGCUUUCAGCCUAAUUGUAUUCCGAGAAUUGAAAUGCAUAAACAUUUCCUUACAAUGUGUGCACUCUAAUCUGAUUGCUCUUGCUUUUGUCAAUUCUAUACCAUCAGCUAAACAGGUUCCAACCAAUUACCCAACUUUGAUUACCCUAUGGCCUUUGAAGUCUCUAGGACAGAAUGUGUUAAUUGAAUAGAGAUAAUAGGGAUGUUCAUGGAGUGGAUUUGGUGGAAGCAGUUCGCUGUAGAUGGCACGAAAUCCUUGAAUCCAUCACCUUCGGAACCUGAAUGCUUCCAAAAUCUAGGUGGGCAGGGGAUGGGAUGAAGUCUUCAUCUACAUAGCUAAUUGGGGACCCAUUAGUUAUAUCAAACUAUAUCCUUUACUAAUUUUCUUGUUAAACUGUUGUAUUGUUAACUCUUGUAUCAAUUAGCAGUGUUUUAGUCAAAGCUACUUGACAAGCAUGAUAACUCAAAGAUACCACAGCUAUGUUGCUGCUUUUAGUCAAAGGUGUAGGGUCAUGAAUUACAAUUCACGUAGGAAACUAGAUCCCAUUGCUGAGCCUUAACUUAUGUGUUUCAACUCCAUGUGGUUCUCAAGAAAAAUUUAACACAUUUUUAUUUAUUUAAUUGAGGCUGGCGACAGAGUUACGAGUUAAUUGGAGUUCUGCACACACACACCUGAGAUGGGGGGAGGAAUUAUUCCCUGCCCCAUCCCUAAUAUAAAAAAGUAAAGGAAAAUGACCAUCUGUGUUUGGUAUGGCUUCUAUGUAAAUCGAAAAGCUGUUAUAACUGCAGAAUUGCAUAGCCAAGAAGAUGCUGGGAAUUGAAUAAUAUUUGAGCCUUUUGCCAUUUUGACUGGCGUUGCAGAUGUUAACAAUGAGAAAUGGA
RNAcentral lists this unclassified non-coding RNA (1604 nucleotides) under Hevea brasiliensis (rubber tree). Lineage: Eukaryota; Viridiplantae; Streptophyta; Magnoliopsida; Malpighiales; Euphorbiaceae. The record is from RNAcentral.